Molecule: long non-coding RNA, 520 nt
Organism: Aedes aegypti (yellow fever mosquito)
Lineage: Eukaryota; Metazoa; Arthropoda; Insecta; Diptera; Culicidae
Exons: 2
Source: RefSeq, a predicted model, not a curated record
AACAAGGGAUUUAAAGGGAUCAAUAGUAGACAAAAUAGUACUGUUUUAGUAGCACUGAAAAGUACCGUUUUGCAUUUCAUUAUUUGCAUGCCACAUCAAGUAUUCACUGUUUUUUUUCUGAAUGCUGUCAUCACUCUUUAUUUUGUACUAGCUAGUCAUGAAGGCUAACUUUUUUUCAACGUUUCAAACUGUGGUAGCCACAGUUGCGGUUCGCUAUGUCCUUGAUGCCGCCGUGCUGUAUUUCAGCGAAUACGAAAAGGAAAAUCAUAACAUGGUUUACAGCACCAUCGCGAGUAUGACAAUUUUGCUUAUGGCAUUCUACACACUAGACAGGGCUCGCUUCAUCCGCCCAGACCAUUCAUCACCGACUAUCAUAAAACUGCAUUUAACUAUAAAGCAAGCCCCUACGGCGGAAAUGGAGAGGAUAAUUACGGACAUGAGAAAUGAGGAAUAAUGUAGCUCAAUGCCUAUAUUUUGUAUGAUGUUAUGAAUGUUGUAAUAAAAAAUGAUCCAUCACUUA